This 5018-nucleotide long non-coding RNA is filed under the name Homo sapiens (human). RNAcentral describes it as "HSALNT0312480". The record is from RNAcentral. Lineage: Eukaryota; Metazoa; Chordata; Mammalia; Primates; Hominidae.
AAUGAAGAGACAAGGUCUUGCUAUGUUGCUCAGGUUGGUCUUGAAUUCCUGGCCUCAAGGGAUCCUCCUCCAUUGGCCUCCCAAAGUGCUGGGAUUUGCCCAGCCCCUAACUGUUGUUUUGUUAAGUUGCAUUUCUCAAGAUUGGGCAGAGUAGCUUCCUAGACUUGGUGAUUUAAUUUUACUUUUCUUGUCUUGUUAUUUCUCUGCAUUCAAUGUUACCUUAAUUGUAAAAUAAAAAUUACCAAGACAUUGCUGAAUAUAGUUGUUGAUUAGUGUUCCCUUGAUAGUAGUCCUGCAUUUUUACUUUCAGCUACUGCUUAAUCACAUUCAUUUGCAAAAUUGGAAAAUUUUUACUUUGGCUAAUUACCAUAGGUUUAGAACUUUCUGGUCUUCAGCUCCAGAAAUGUAUCGCUGUGUUGAGAUCAUGUUUUAUUUCAUCCAUGUUUAUUUGAAUACUGCCCCUCUGAAAAGCUGACUGUUUUUGGAGCUUUUAUACACAAGUAUGAGUGAGGAAAUUACUUUAGGUGUAGAAUAAAAUUGUGUAGAAAUAAUUAUCUUUGAAAAAAUUUGGUAUUCAGGAUAUUGAAUUGGAAGUGUUGAAGAAGCAGCUGUUUUGUGUGUAAUACGUUUCUCUUGUUUGAGAAUUUACCAGUUUUUUGCAGUUGUAGCUUUGAACUAUCCAUUCCCCCCUUAAAUUUAGAUACCCUGACAACCAAAAAUCUCUUGAAUUGUCAUGAAGUACUUUAGUAGAAGUUUUAUGGAAAAACACAACAUAGCUAUGAUCUUUGCUGGAAGCUUCAAAAAGGCAUCAUCGUGUGAUGCUUUUUAGGUAGAAAAACUCCCAGAAAUAAGAUAAGGUACCUACACUGGGCAAAGCCCAAGCCUCUUACUCAUGUUUCCUGGUAAUCCACAGCAGUGGUUUUGCUCCUUUCAUGACAUUGUUUUUGUUGUAGUGUUUGUCUUUCAUAAAAAUUCUCCAUAAAAAUAUAUAAAAAUUACCUGUCUUCCAAAUCAAACUUUUAUCAAACCUUCCAAGCUGAAAGCUGGUACAAUUUAAGAUCAUUUUACCCAGGAACAGAGUAAUAAUUUAUUUUGUGUUUACUGUUUCAUUGGACUUACUGAUUUAUUGGUGGUGACUUGAUCUUAUGUGUACUUGGUGACCUUAAAGUAAAUUACCUGGGUAGUUGUGGUCAUUUGACAAGUUUUUAUUGAGCACACAGCCAUUUGCGCUCUUGGUGUACAGUGGUAUAAAGACAGACCAGGUCCCUGUUCUUACGGAGCUUAAAAUACUAUGGAAAGGAAGAGAAAAUAAACUAACAGAAAAAUAACAAUUUCAGCUGGCGACAAGUGCUACGAAGAAUUUAGAGAAGGGUAAGGAACUACAGAGUGAUGAGAACUGGGUGGAGUGACUGCUUUAUAGACAAUGUUGAGAUAAUGCAUUUAAUUUUUUAGGAAAAAGUAAUGCUACUUCCUUUUGGAGCCGGGGAUAAUUCUUAUGUAGGUUUACCUGUGCCAUUUAGCUCAUUUGGUUGGGGGACAGACAGCUUUUAGAUUUGGAGCCCUUGUGCAUAGGCUGCUAAACUUAUAAACUUAGUUCCAUGUUGUAGACUAAACCUAGGCCAGCUAAUUUACUAGUAUUGUUAGUCAUUAGGGUGGGAGAUUAUGAAUGGAUUCACUUACAUAUUAUUUAUUCAUGUGGCAUAUAUUUGUUGUGUAUUUCAGUAGGUGCUGAAGAAAAUUCCAGGAUUAAGAAAAACUUUCUCAAGUAGCUGUAGUUUACCAAAAUAGUUAUCAGAACUAAUUUGGUUCAUUAGGACUUUGAGUAAAUAGUAGGUCUCUCGUGUCCUAAAUGACUUGAGCUAACACAUUCUGCAGUCUUUCUGGCACUUCUUUUCUCUUUUGCCUCAUCACCCAUGCUUUUUCUCUUUGUGGCAUCUUCUGUGUUACUUUUCAUAACUAGUACUCCCACUUCCCUUUUUACCUAUAGAUACAAACUUUUUCAACGGUCGCAUACAUAGAAGUGCACAAAUCGUAAGUAUAAGGAUUUGAUAAAGUUUUGCAGAAUGAGCAUAUCUUUGCCACUAGCACCCAGAUUGAUUUUUUUUUUUUUUUUGAGACAGGUAUCUGGCUCUGUUGCCCAGGCUAGAGUGUGGUGGUGUAAUCACAGCUCACUGUAGCCCCUACUUUGAGGCCCAGGUGAUACUCUCACCUCAGCCUCCUGAGUAGUUGGGACCAUAGACAUGUGCCAUCAUGCCUGGCACAUUUUUAAGGGCUUUUUUUUUUUCUUUUUGUGAGACACGGUCUCCCUAUGUUGCCUAGGCUAGUGUCUUAUUUCUGGGCUCAAGCGAUCCUCCCGCCUCAGCCUCCCAGAGAGUUGGUAUUAUAGGCAUGAGCCACUGUGCUGGCUUGCACCUAGAUUCUUAAAGAGAACAUUACUAGAACAUUACCGGAAGCCCCUUGUGCACUGUCCCCUGUGGGCCACUUCUCCCACCCCAUUCCUGUCUUUUAAUACUAGAGAUCAGUUGUGCUUGUUUUUGAAAUUUAUGUGAGUGGAGUAUACUAUGUAUACAGUACACAGUAAAUACUGUAUGUACCACUGCCUAUAUACAGUAUACUCCACAGUGAGUGAAACAAGCCAGACUCAGAAGCAUACAUACUGUAUGUACCACUUUGCUUAGUAGCCACAGUGUAUGCACCAUGGUACAUGCAUAUACUUCUGAAUCUGGCUUGUUUCACUCAUGGUUAGGUGUGCAGGAUUCAUCCAUGUUGUUGUGUGCAGUUCUUGCUUAUUUUACCAGUCUGUCUUAUCCUGAGAAUAUCUUUGACAUUCAACUCUGCAUGCAGACCCUUCCUUACACGUUCUAGAGAGAGGACCUGUCUUCACCCUGUGUUUAUUACCCACAUACUUGAACAGCUGUUUCCUCCAGGCAUCAUUAUGCAAAAGGAAUGAAACCCGGUGUGUGCAGCUUUUUUAGAGGACGUAAAAGGAGUCAGCUCUUGCCUCUCAUCAAUAGUAUUGUUUAUCAGUCAUUUCUCUUUUGAGGCAUUGGUUGAAUAAAUGGGAAAAUUCCUGCUUUCAAGGAACUUAGCAGACUUGUUGACAGAUAAGACCAUAAGAAGAAAGCCAGUGAAGUACCCAGUGAUGUGAACGCCAUGGUAUGAGCAAGUACAUAAUAGAGACCACAAGUGCUUUUUAGAAGUUAGAGAUAGUCAUUCUCUGGGGCUUCCUCAGGAAAAUCCUCGCUGAAUCUGGGAUCUAAACUGGGCCUUAUGAUUCUUGGAUAUAAGUUCCCUACUCCCCGCCCCACACCCCCUCUAAAAAAAAAGUACUAGAAGUUACACACAGAACUGUAGCCUUGGAGGCUGUAGGCAGUGCAUUUAAAGUACUUCUGGAGUGGUUUUGAGCUUCAGAGCAUUGACACACUUCCCUAAAUAACUGUGACAAUUCUUUCUAUUUGCUGUUGCCCAUCGGUGAUUUCAGUGGCCAGUAGUCAUACUGGAAAGUCUGAUAAUAAAGCAGGGGAUCAGUCAUGUGGUACCAAACCAGUUGUGGGGAAUGUUAGAUGUGUUAAGAUGUGAUUAGCAACGACAUUCCUGUUUGUAAACUGGCAUCUAUGGCGGUUUAAAAAUGGUGGCAAAACCAUUUUGAGUAUUGUUGGAAAUGUUAUCUGUUCUGCCGUGUUAAUAUACCUAUAAGUUGGUAGUUGCAUCUUGUACCCUUGAUAGUCAUACUUUGUACAUUGUGUAUGCCACUCUUCUGUUGAGUAAUUUGGAUUAAUUACUUUGGAGAUUGAAGUCUUGACUCAUUCACUUCACUCAUUUAUUUAGCUGUAUUUUCAGUUCCAUGCAAUGAGUGACACAGACUGUGCUGCCAAAAAGGAAUUCUCAGUAAGGGCAAUGCACAUAAAUUACUGUGUUACUCAGAAAUCAUGAAUAGUUGAGAUCACAAGGAAAUCUACUUAAAUUGUCCUGUGGUUGGGAAAAGAAACUAGUGGAAGGAAUAUGUUAAAAAAGCAUCUUUCUUAAAAUGUAUUCAAAAUAUUUUUCUCUACAAUUUAAGAGCAUUAGCAAAUACAACCUAGGAUGAAACUUUAACAGCCUUUGAGAGGGACAAGAAAUGAAAUUAAGGGUGAUAUAUGAUGCCAGUAUCAUCGGUGUAUUGGGUCUCAUAAUACAUACAAUACAUGGUAGUUAGUCAUAGGGAGAAAACAAACCUGGUGGCUGCUUUCUAAGAACAAAUCAGAUUUCUUGUGUAGCUAUGUGGUUUAACUGUUCUUGCCCUUCUUUUACAAAACUAAACAGAGUGCUGGUUCUCAAACUUUAGCAUGUUAUCAGAAUCACUUGGAAGAAGACUUCUUCAACACAUUGCUGAGUCCCAUUCCCAGAGGUUCAGAAAAUUAGAUGUUGACAUUUUCAAAGUGAACUUAAGAGAAGAUAAUUUCAAGAAUUAACAUUCUUGAAAUGACAAAAUUACAGAGAUAAGAGAACACAUUAGUGGUUGCCAGGAGUUAGGACUAGUGGCAGGAGGGAGGGAGAUGGAUGUAACUGUAAAAGGGUAGCAAGAGGAAGAUCUUUGUGGUGAUGAACUUUCUUAUCCCAAAACGAAAAAACCAUUUACUGUAUCUGUAUUUCUGUUCUGAACCUUCUGGAUGUAUACUAGUCUUCCCCACCGACCCCCCGCCCCAUUAGUGGGAGAUAAAUUUUAAGACCACCCAGUGGAUGCCUGAAAUUGUGGAUAGAACUGAACCCUAGAUAAACUGUGUUUUUUUCCUAUGCAUACAUUCCUGUGAUAAAAGUUUAAUUAUACGUUAAGUACAGUUAAGAGAUUAACAAAAAUAACCUCACUACUCUUGCAUUUUGGGUCAUGAGUAAGUCAAAUAAGGGUGACUUAAACACAAGACGGAUACUACCACAGUCAAACUGAAAUGGGUAUUGACAGGCAGGAUGGUGUCUACAACAUGGAUAUCUUGAACAAAGGGGUGAUUCAUAUCCCUUGUGGGACAGAGUGGAACAGUGAG